UACGUAGGGGGCUAGCGUUGUCCGGAAUCAUUGGGCGUAAAGCGCGUGUAGGCGGUCCGGUAAGUCCGCUGUGAAAGUCGAGGGCUCAACCCUCGAAUGCCGGUGGAUACUGUCGGGCUAGAGUGCGGGAGAGGCGAGUGGAAUUCCUGGUGUAGCGGUGAAAUGCGCAGAUAUCAGGAGGAACACCAAUUGCGAAGGCAGCUCGCUGGAACGUAACUGACGCUGAGACGCGAAAGCGUGGGGAGCAAACAGG
RNAcentral lists this ribosomal RNA (253 nucleotides) under uncultured bacterium. Its description in RNAcentral is "partial 16S ribosomal RNA". It matches the Rfam family "Bacterial small subunit ribosomal RNA", at positions 524 to 776 of the family's 1533-position model. The record is from RNAcentral.